UACGUAGGUGGCAAGCGUUGUCCGGAUUUACUGGGCGUAAAGAGCGCGCAGGCGGUCGUUCAAGUCGCGUGUGAAAGCCCCCGGCUCAACUGGGGAGGGUCACGCGAUACUGAUCGACUGGAAGGCAGGAGAGGGUAGUGGAAUUCCGGGUGUAGCGGUGGAAUGCGUAGAGAUCCGGAAGAACACCAGUGGCGAAGGCGGCCCGCUGGGCAGUGGCUGACGCUGAGGCGCGACAGCGUGGGGAGCGAACCGG
This 253-nucleotide ribosomal RNA is filed under the name uncultured bacterium. RNAcentral's name for it is "partial 16S ribosomal RNA". It matches the Rfam family "Bacterial small subunit ribosomal RNA", at positions 524 to 776 of the family's 1533-position model. The record is from RNAcentral.